GUCAUGAUCCUCCCUUAUUCUAAGAAGUAGUGGCCAUGAUCAAGUCAUGAUCCUCCCUUAUUCUAGGAAGUAGUGGCCAUGAUCAAGUCAUGAUCCUUUGAUGUACCCUAUAAAUAUUUGCAUAAACAUCAAUGAAGAAUGAACUUGGAAUUUCAUUCAGUCUUUGAGUACUUUACACUCAAGAGGUUUAAGGCUCCCUCUUUGAGCCGAAUCGUUAAUGACCCGAGCAAACAAAAAGAAAUCUAACCCAAACACUCAAACACCUACCCAACCAUCUACACUUAGACCCCAAACAAGAUCCUUGGCCCGGGACCCUAACAUUUUGGUAUCAGAGCCGACUGUUAUGGGGGACUCUAUUCAAGACCAGCUUACUAAACUUCUCAAUGUCGUCCUUUCUGAGCAGCAGGCUAAUCAACUUCGCCAUGAUAAAGUUGAGCAGCUCCAUGCUAAGAUGGAUGCCAUGUCCCUUGAUUUAAACUCAGUUAAACAGGCUCGUUCUACUUCUCCCGAAGCAGAAAGCCAAGCUCGACCAAGGCGUGACAAGGGAAUAGUUGGAACCACCAGUUCUGUGACUACUCGCGAUUGCUCCUUUGUGCCCAAAUACACCAAACUGGACUUCCCUCGCUAUAACGGCACGGAAGAUCCUCUUGGGUGGAUUAGCAGGUGUCAACACUUCUUCAAGCAUCAGUCCACUCCCGAUGAUGAACAAGUGGGACUGGCUUCUUACCACCUUGAAGGAAUUGCCCAAUUGUGGUACUUACAGUUAAUCCAGGAUGUUCCAAAUCCUACUUGGGCUGAGUUUGUUGACCAAUGUAAUCUUCGUUUUGGACCCCCUAUUCGCAGCAACAAGUUAGGGGAGCUUGCCAAAUUGAAGCAGACAGGAACGGUGGAGGAUUAUCAAACUAAAUUUGAGAUUUUGGUUUCGAGGGCCGGUACCUUAGGUUCCAAUCAGAAAGUUCAGUUGUAUAUUAGUGGAUUACAGGAAUACAUAGCAGUGGAAGUCGAGCUACACCAGCCAAAAGACUUAGCCACCGCCAUGAGUAUGUCACGCCUGUAUGAACGCAAGCUCUACUCCAAGAGUGUUGCCCAACGUGAGGUCAGACGUCCUGCUCCCCUUUCGGAACACCGCCCUGGCCGUACCAUCAAACGACUCACCCCAGACGAAAUGGAUGAGAGACGGAAGAAAGGACUGUGCUUUAACUGUGAUGAGCCGUUUGUACGCGGACAUCAAUGCAAACGCCUAUUUUUGAUUGAUCUGGAUGACGGCAGUAAGUCUGAUGCGGAGUCUGAUUCCGAUUCUCCACCAGAAAUUUCUCUCCAUGCCAUCACCGGAACUCGCAAUUCCCAGUCUAUGCGACUUCUAGGUUGUUGGCACGGUAGGCAAGUACUGAUCUUGGUCGAUUCAGGAAGCACCCAUAGUUUUGUCUCGGAUUCGGUGGUGGCCGAUUUGCAGGUUACAGUGGAUGCGAAGGAUGGGUUACGGGUGAAAGUUGCGAAGGAUGGGUUACGGGUGAAAGUUGCGAAUGGUGAACAACUUCACAGUCCUGGUCUUUGCAAAGGCGCACCGAUUGAAUUGGGAAACUCUGUUUUCACAGUGGAUUUAUUUGUGUUACAGCUCACUGGUUUUGACUUGGUAUUGGGUGUUAAUUGGCUAGCUACUCUGGGCCCCAUCUUAUGGGAUUUUAACUCCAUGUGGAUGUCUUUCUUUGUUAAUGGGAAACAGGUGGCUCUUACGGGUAUAGACAGCAAAUCAGAAACAAAUUCAUCCCUCAAUUCCCUUUCACCAUCUGCUGCUCGCAAUCAUCAUCUGCGCCAAUUAUUAGCUGAUUUUGCUGCACUCUUUGAAGCUCCCACAGGUCUCCCACCUGCUCGCCACUGUGACCACAGGAUUCCUCUAGCUCCAAAUACCAAACCCGUAGUGGGUCAUCCUUACCGAUACCCACACAACCAAAAAGAUGAGAUCGAGCGACAGUGUAUUGCUAUGCUGGAUCAAGGGAUUAUUCGUCCCAGCCGAUCACCUUUUUCUUCUCCGGUACUUCUGGUUCCUAAAGCUAACAAAACUUGGCGCCUAUGCGUGGAUUACAGGGAACUUAACGCAAGAACUAUCAAAGACAAAUUUCCAAUUCCUGUGAUUGAAGAGCUUCUGGACGAAUUGGGAGGGGCAAAGUAUUGUACUUCCAAGUUGGCAUGCAUCCACCAGACAUUGAGAAGACCGCAUUCAGAACUCACCAUGGCCAUUUUGAAUUUUUGGUCAUGCCAUUCGGGCUGUCAAAUGCUCCUUCCACAUUCCAGGCUUUAAUGAAUGAGGUAUUUCAUGCCCACUUGCGCAAAUUUGUUUUAGUCUUCUUUGACGACAUUCUGGUUUUCAGUAAAUCUUGGGAUGACCAUAUGCAACAUCUGCGACAAGUGUUUAGCCUCUUGGCAGAAAACAAAUUGUUCUUGAAACGGUCCAAGUGUACCUUUGCCCAAACGGAAGUUUCUUAUUUGGGUCAUGUCAUUUCACAUGAAGGCGUUCAGGUUGACAAAUCCAAAAUUUCGGCUAUUACUGAUUGGCCGCGACCAGUUUCUAUUCGAGGCUUGCGGGGUUUUUUGGGUCUUGCUGGUUACUACCGUAAGUUUGUCUUCAAUUUUGGCCUUAUUGCUGCUCCCCUCACAGCUAUGUUGCGAAAGAACUCCUUCCACUGGACUGAAUUAUUCAAGUUGUCUGGUACUAAACUGUGUUUUAGUUCAGCUUAUCAUCCACAAUCGGAUGGUCAAACAGAGGUCACAAAUCGUACAGUGGAAAUGUAUUUACGCUGCUUCUCUAGUUCUCAUCCCCACAAAUGGUGUGAUUGGCUUUCUUGGGCUAAAUUUUGCUACAACACCAGCUACCAUUCAGCUCUUAAAUCCACUCCAUUUGAGAUUGUCUAUGGGCGUGCUCCACCUAGACUCCUUUCUUACUUGGCCGGCAAUUCCACUGUAGAGACUGUGGAUGUUAUUUUACAACAACAUGACUCAAUGUUGCAGCUCCUACGCAACAACCUUCAAUUGGCUCAAAACAGAAUGAAACUUCAUUAUGAUCGUUCUCACCGGCCAUUGGAGUUUAAUGUUGGUAAUGUCGUUCUACUCCGACUCCAGCCAUACCGUCAGUCAUCCAUUGCCUCAAGAAAAAAUCAGAAAUUGGCUGCCAAAUAUUAUGGUCCUUUUGAGGUUUUGGAGCGCAUUGGCUCUAUGGCUUAUCGGUUGAAGCUUCCCCCUGAUUCCAAAUUACAUCCAGUCUUUCAUGUCUCCACACUCGAGCCAUAUCAUUCUGAUUCUGGAAAUUUUGAAACGAUUCUCCCUCCUAUUACUGAACAGCAACCUUUGGUUCCCUUUGCUAUUUUGGAACAGCGUUGUCGUUCGGGAAAACAGGAAGUCUUGGUCCAUUGGAGCCAAUCUUCCCCAGCUAAUUCCUCUUGGGAAAAUGUUCAGGAUUUGCUAGCACGCUUUCCAGAUUUUACGCUUGCGGACAAGCUUCCUAACGGGGCGAGAAGUACUGUUACGAGACCCUUGCAGGUGUAUACUCGUAACCAGUAGAAGCAGCAGCCACGUGUAAUGCUUAUGGAAGUUGAGAAUUGAAGCAGUUAGUCAUGUUCAGUUUCUAGUUUAUUUGUUGAAUAUUUCUUUAUGCAUUAUGUUAGUGUUUCCAUUAUAUUAGGAGGGUAUUUUUCAGAUUCUGUUAUUUCCCUUAUUUUAGGAAGUAGUGGCCAUGAUCAAGUCAUGAUCCUCCCUUAUUCUAAGAAGUAGUGGCCAUGAUCAAGUCAUGAUCCUCCCUUAUUCUAGGAAGUAGUGGUCAUGAUCAAGUCAUGAUCCUUUGAUGUACCCUAUAAAUAUUUGCAUAAACAUCAAUGAAGAAUGAACUUGGAAUUUCAUUCAGUCUUUGAGUACUUUACACUCAAGAGGUUUAAGGCUCCCUCUUUGAGCCGAAUCGUUAAUGACCCGAGCAAACAAAAAGAAAUCUAACCCAAACACUCAAACACCUACCCAACCAUCUACACUUAGACCCCAAACAAGAUCCUUGGCCCGGGACCCUAACAU
Molecule: long non-coding RNA, 4056 nt
Filed under: Manihot esculenta (cassava)
Lineage: Eukaryota; Viridiplantae; Streptophyta; Magnoliopsida; Malpighiales; Euphorbiaceae
Description: long non-coding RNA (MESC_LNC006243)
Source: RNAcentral